This 142-nucleotide non-coding RNA is filed under the name Pseudomonas monteilii. RNAcentral describes it as "FMN sequence". It matches the Rfam family "FMN riboswitch aptamer (RFN element)". Rfam says of the family: The RFN element is a highly conserved domain that is found frequently in the 5'-untranslated regions of prokaryotic mRNAs that encode for flavin mononucleotide (FMN) biosynthesis and transport proteins. This element is a metabolite-dependent riboswitch that directly binds FMN in the absence of proteins. The record is from RNAcentral. Lineage: Bacteria; Pseudomonadati; Pseudomonadota; Gammaproteobacteria; Pseudomonadales; Pseudomonadaceae.
CCCGGUCUUCAGGGCGGGGUGCAAUUCCCCACCGGCGGUAAGUCGACAGACGAGCCCGCGAGCGCCUUGGCCAUGCCAAGGGUCAGCAGACCUGGUGAGAUUCCAGGGCCGACGGUCAUAGUCCGGAUGAAAGAAGGCGUCA